UGCCCCAUGGCUGAGUUGGUUACAGCGUCCGACUGUUAUAUGACAUCGGAAGGUCGAGAGUUCGAGCCUCUCUGGGGCAG
Non-coding RNA from Lentinula boryana, 80 nucleotides. Lineage: Eukaryota; Fungi; Basidiomycota; Agaricomycetes; Agaricales; Omphalotaceae. The record is from the annotation of a GenBank genome assembly.